CUUGAGCCGGGCGAGCGCUGUGGGCCAAGCAGGGGUUGCAGGGCAGUAGGAGUGCAGGUGACUUGGGGCCGGGAGCCAGCAAUAGGCAGGGUUGUGGGCUGGGCAGUGUGGAGGGGUAUUUCCCCCCAGUGCUGGGAGAGGCUAUGGCAAUCUAGAUAUGGCCUUAUCAAUGAAUGUUAAUUACCAACGGUAAUGAACGAUUGACUGCCUCGGCUGGGGCGGGUCGGGGACUGCUGUGUAAGAUGGGCAGGAUCCUGCGCGACACCUGCCCAGAUGUGGCUUUCUGAUUUUACAGAUCCGCUGUUGUACCAGGGGUCUAAUCAGGCCUGUGUCUGCCUCCUUCUUGAAUAGCCCAGUGAAUUCAUCUAAACAGCCUUCCUACAGCAACUUCCCACUCCAGGUGGCCAGACGGGAGUUCCAGACCAGUGUUGUCUCCCGGGACAUUGACACAGCAGCCAAGUUUAUUGGUGCUGGGGCAGCCACAGUUGGUGUGGCUGGUUCAGGGGCUGGCAUUGGAACCGUGUUUGGCAGCUUGAUCAUUGGCUAUGCCAGGAACCCGUCUCUCAAGCAGCAGCUCUUCUCCUAUGCCAUUCUCGGCUUUGCCCUGUCUGAGGCCAUGGGGCUUUUCUGUUUGAUGGUCGCCUUCCUCAUCCUCUUCGCCAUGUGAGGCUCCAUGGGGGGUCACCGGCCUGUUGCUGCUGCAACUCCACACCAUUCUUGGUGCUGGGGUGUGCUAAGCUUUACCAUUAAACACAACG
RNAcentral lists this small RNA (758 nucleotides) under Pan troglodytes (chimpanzee). RNAcentral's name for it is "processed transcript". Lineage: Eukaryota; Metazoa; Chordata; Mammalia; Primates; Hominidae. The record is from RNAcentral.